GACGAACGCUGGCGGCGUGCUUAACACAUGCAAGUCGAACGGAAAGGCCCUGCUUUUGUGGGGUGCUCGAGUGGCGAACGGGUGAGUAACACGUGAGUAACCUGCCCUUGACUUUGGGAUAACCUCAGGAAACUGGGGCUAAUACCGGAUAGGAGCUCCUGCUGCAUGGUGGGGGUUGGAAAGUUUCGGCGGUUGGGGAUGGACUCGCGGCUUAUCAGCUUGUUGGUGGGGUAGUGGCUUACCAAGGCUUUGACGGGUAGCCGGCCUGAGAGGGUGAACGGCCACAUUGGGACUGAGAUACGGCCCAGACUCCUACGGGAGGCAGCAGUGGGGAAUAUUGCACAAUGGGCGGAAGCCUGAUGCAGCAACGCCGCGUGCGGGAUGACGGCCUUCGGGUUGUAAACCGCUUUCGCCUGUGACGAAGCGUGAGUGACGGUAAUGGGUAAAGAAGCACCGGCUAGCUACGUGCCAGCAGCCGCGGUGAUACGUAGGGUGCGAGCGUUGUCCGGAUUUAUUGGGCGUAAAGGGCUCGUAGGUGGUUGAUCGCGUCGGAAGUGUAAUCUUGGGGCUUAACCCUGAGCGUGCUUUCGAUACGGGUUGACUUGAGGAAGGUAGGGGAGAAUGGAAUUCCUGGUGGAGCGGUGGAAUGCGCAGAUAUCAGGAGGAACACCAGUGGCGAAGGCGGUUCUCUGGGCCUUUCCUGACGCUGAGGAGCGAAAGCGUGGGGAGCGAACAGGCUUAGAUACCCUGGUAGUCCACGCUGUAAACGGUGGGUACUAGGUGUGGGGUCCAUUCCACGGGUUCCGUGCCGUAGCUAACGCUUUAAGUACCCCGCCUGGGGAGUACGGCCGCAAGGCUAAAACUCAAAGGAAUUGACGGGGCCCCGCACAAGCGGCGGAGCAUGCGGAUUAAUUCGAUGCAACGCGUAGAACCUUACCUGGGUUUGACAUGGAUCGGGAGUGCUCAGAGAUGGGUGUGCCUCUUUUGGGGUCGGUUCACAGGUGGUGCAUGCCUGUCGUCAGCUCGUGUCGUGAGAUGUUGGGUUAAGUCCCGCAACGAGCGCAACCCUUGUUCACUGUUGCCAGCACGUUAUGGUGGGGACUCAGUGGAGACCGCCGGGGUCAACUCGGAGGAAGGUGGGGAUGACGUCAAGUCAUCAUGCCCCUUAUGUCCAGGGCUUCACGCAUGCUACAAUGGCUGGUACAGAGAGUGGCGAGCCUGUGAGGGUGAGCGAAUCUCGGAAAGCCGGUCUCAGUUCGGAUUGGGGUCUGCAACUCGACCUCAUGAAGUCGGAGUCGCUAGUAAUCGCAGAUCAGCAACGCUGCGGUGAAUACGUUCCCGGGGCU
RNAcentral lists this ribosomal RNA (1346 nucleotides) under uncultured bacterium. RNAcentral's name for it is "partial 16S ribosomal RNA". It matches the Rfam family "Bacterial small subunit ribosomal RNA", at positions 28 to 1381 of the family's 1533-position model. The record is from RNAcentral.